UACACUCCUACGGGAGGCAGCAGUGGGGAAUAUUGGACAAUGGGCGCAAGCCUGAUCCAGCCAUGCCGCGUGAGUGAUGAAGGCCCUAGGGUUGUAAAGCUCUUUCACCGGUGAAGAUAAUGACGGUAACCGGAGAAGAAGCCCCGGCUAACUUCGUGCCAGCAGCCGCGGUAAUACGAAGGGGGCUAGCGUUGUUCGGAUUUACUGGGCGUAAAGCGCACGUAGGCGGACUAUUAAGUCAGGGGUGAAAUCCCGGGGCUCAACCCCGGAACUGCCUUUGAUACUGGUAGUCUUGAGUUCGAGAGAGGUGAGUGGAAUUCCGAGUGUAGAGGUGAAAUUCGUAGAUAUUCGGAGGAACACCAGUGGCGAAGGCGGCUCACUGGCUCGAUACUGACGCUGAGGUGCGAAAGCGUGGGGAGCAAACAGGAUUAGAUACCCCGGUAGUCCC
This 448-nucleotide ribosomal RNA is filed under the name uncultured organism. RNAcentral's name for it is "partial 16S ribosomal RNA". It matches the Rfam family "Bacterial small subunit ribosomal RNA", at positions 332 to 797 of the family's 1533-position model. The record is from RNAcentral.